This 483-nucleotide ribosomal RNA is filed under the name uncultured bacterium. RNAcentral's name for it is "partial 16S ribosomal RNA". It matches the Rfam family "Bacterial small subunit ribosomal RNA", at positions 30 to 506 of the family's 1533-position model. The record is from RNAcentral.
AUUGAACGCUGGCGGCAGGCCUAACACAUGCAAGUCGAGCGGAUGAAGGGAGCUUGCUCCUGGAUUCAGCGGCGGACGGGUGAGUAAUGCCUAGGAAUCUGCCUGGUAGUGGGGGAUAACGUCCGGAAACGGGCGCUAAUACCGCAUACGUCCUGAGGGAGAAAGUGGGGGAUCUUCGGACCUCACGCUAUCAGAUGAGCCUAGGUCGGAUUAGCUAGUUGGUGGGGUAAAGGCCUACCAAGGCGACGAUCCGUAACUGGUCUGAGAGGAUGAUCAGUCACACUGGAACUGAGACACGGUCCAGACUCCUACGGGAGGCAGCAGUGGGGAAUAUUGGACAAUGGGCGAAAGCCUGAUCCAGCCAUGCCGCGUGUGUGAAGAAGGUCUUCGGAUUGUAAAGCACUUUAAGUUGGGAGGAAGGGCAGUAAGUUAAUACCUGGCUGUUUUGACGUGACCAACAGAAUAAGCACCGGCUAACUUCGU